AGUGAACGCUGGCGGUAGGCCUAACACAUGCAAGUCGAACAGCAGCACAGUAAGAGCUUGCUCUUACGGGUGGCGAGUGGCGGACGGGUGAGGAAUACAUCGGAAUCUACUUUUUCGUGGGGGAUAACGUAGGGAAACUUACGCUAAUACCGCAUACGACCUACGGGUGAAAGCAGGGGAUCUUCGGACCUUGCGCGAUUGAAUGAGCCGAUGUUGGAUUAGCUAGUUGGCGGGGUAAAGGCCCACCAAGGCGACGAUCCGUAGCUGGUCUGAGAGGAUGAUCAGCCACACUGGAACUGAGACACGGUCCAGACUCCUACGGGAGGCAGCAGUGGGGAAUAUUGGACAAUGGGCGCAAGCCUGAUCCAGCCAUACCGCGUGGGUGAAGAAGGCCUUCGGGUUGUAAAGCCCUUUUGUUGGGAAAGAAAAGCAGCAGGUUAAUACCCCGCUGUUCUGACGGUACCCAAAGAAUAAGCACCGGCUAACUUCGUG
This 492-nucleotide ribosomal RNA is filed under the name uncultured bacterium. Its description in RNAcentral is "partial 16S ribosomal RNA". It matches the Rfam family "Bacterial small subunit ribosomal RNA", at positions 29 to 507 of the family's 1533-position model. The record is from RNAcentral.